RNAcentral lists this ribosomal RNA (890 nucleotides) under uncultured anaerobic bacterium. RNAcentral describes it as "bacterial SSU rRNA". It matches the Rfam family "Bacterial small subunit ribosomal RNA", at positions 29 to 896 of the family's 1533-position model. The record is from RNAcentral.
ACGAACGCUGGCGGCGUGCUUAACACAUGCAAGUCGAACGGAGGAUUUAUUUCGGUAGAUCCUUAGUGGCGAACGGGUGAGUAACGCGUGGGCAAUCUGCCCUUCAGAUGGGGACAACAUCCCGAAAGGGGUGCUAAUACCGAAUACGAUCCUUCCACCGCAUGGAGGAAGGAUGAAAGAUGGCCUCUAUUUAUAAGCUAUCGCUGAAGGAUGAGCCUGCGUCUGAUUAGCUAGUUGGUGGGGUAACGGCCUACCAAGGCGAUGAUCAGUAGCCGGUCUGAGAGGAUGAACGGCCACAUUGGGACUGAGACACGGCCCAAACUCCUACGGGAGGCAGCAGUGGGGAAUAUUCCGCAAUGGACGAAAGUCUGACGGAGCAACGCCGCGUGAGUGAUGAAGGUUUUCGGACUGUAAAGCUCUGUUGUUUAGGACGAAAGUGCCUGCUGCAAACAGUUGCAGGUAUUGACGGUACUGAACGAGGAAGCCACGGCUAACUACGUGCCAGCAGCCGCGGUAAUACGUAGGUGGCAAGCGUUGUCCGGAAUUAUUGGGCGUAAAGAGCAUGUAGGCGGGAAUCUAAGUCUGUUGUGAAAAUGCGGGGCUCAACCCCGUAUGGCGAUGGAAACUGGAUUUCUUGAGUGCAGGAGAGGAAAGGGGAAUUCCCAGUGUAGCGGUGAAAUGCGUAGAUAUUGGGAGGAACACCAGUGGCGAAGGCGCCUUUCUGGACUGUGUCUGACGCUGAGAUGCGAAAGCCAGGGUAGCGAACGGGAUUAGAUACCCCGGUAGUCCUGGCCGUAAACGAUGGGUACUAGGUGUAGGGGGUAUCGACCCCCCCUGUGCCGGAGUUAACGCAAUAAGUACCCCGCCUGGGGAGUACGGCCGCAAGGUUG